GGAUCAAUAUGCUGGUCGUGCCUUUGGUACGUACUGGUAUUAUUGGUUUCUCCUUUCUGAAGAACUACGAUGUCAUUAAUUUGGUGUCUUGGGGAAUCAGGACUGUUACUUUGAAAAAAUUAGAGUGUUUAAAGCAGGCUAACGCCUGAAUACAUUAGCAUGGAAUAAUGAAAUAGGACGGACUGAUUCUAUUUCGUUGGUUUCUAGGAUCACCGUA
This 217-nucleotide ribosomal RNA is filed under the name Campeiostachys nutans. RNAcentral describes it as "Elymus nutans partial small subunit ribosomal RNA". The stretch from base 38 to 217 matches the Rfam family "Eukaryotic small subunit ribosomal RNA", at positions 684 to 864 of the family's 1831-position model. Lineage: Eukaryota; Viridiplantae; Streptophyta; Magnoliopsida; Poales; Poaceae. The record is from RNAcentral.